This 496-nucleotide ribosomal RNA is filed under the name uncultured bacterium. RNAcentral's name for it is "partial 16S ribosomal RNA". It matches the Rfam family "Bacterial small subunit ribosomal RNA", at positions 29 to 507 of the family's 1533-position model. The record is from RNAcentral.
AUGCACGCUGGCGGCGUGCCUAAUACAUGCAAGUCGAGCGCACGGACGAGAAGCUUGCUUCUCUGAUGUUAGCGGCGGACGGGUGAGUAACACGUGGAUAACCUACCUAUAAGACUGGGAUAACUUCGGGAAACCGGAGCUAAUACCGGAUGAUAUUUUGAACCGCAUGGUUCAAAAGUGAAAGACGGUCUUGCUGUCACUUAUAGAUGGAUCCGCGCUGCAUUAGCUAGUUGGUAAGGUAACGGCUUACCAAGGCAACGAUGCAUAGCCGACCUGAGAGGGUGAUCGGCCACACUGGAACUGAGACACGGUCCAGACUCCUACGGGAGGCAGCAGUAGGGAAUCUUCCGCAAUGGGCGAAAGCCUGACGGAGCAACGCCGCGUGAGUGAUGAAGGUCUUCGGAUCGUAAAACUCUGUUAUUAGGGAAGAACAUAUGCGUAAGUAACUGUGCACAUCUUGACGGUACCUAAUCAGAAAGCCACGGCUAACUACGUG